CCUAUGGGGGGCAGCAGGCGCGAAAACUUUACAAUGCGGGAAACCGUGAUAAGGGAACUCCGAGUGUCCGUAAAUUCGGACUGUCCGUAUGUUUAAAAAGCAUACGAAGAAAGGGCCGGGCAAGACCGGUGCCAGCCGCCGCGGUAAUACCGGCGGCUCGAGUGGUGGCCACUAUUACUGGGCUUAAAGCGUUCGUAGCUUGGUUGUUAAGUCUCUUGGGAAAUCUAUCGGCUUAACCGAUAGGCGUCCAGGGGAUACUGGCAAUCUAGGGACCGGGAGAGGUGAGGGGUACUUCAGGGGUAGGAGUGAAAUCCUGUAAUCCUUGGGGGACCACCUGUGGCGAAGGCGCCUCACCAGAACGGCUCCGACAGUGAGGGACGAAAGCUGGGGGAGCAAACCGGAUUAGAUACCCGCGUAGUCC
This 421-nucleotide ribosomal RNA is filed under the name uncultured Methanomicrobiaceae archaeon. Its description in RNAcentral is "bacterial SSU rRNA". It matches the Rfam family "Archaeal small subunit ribosomal RNA", at positions 322 to 747 of the family's 1478-position model. The record is from RNAcentral. Lineage: Archaea; Methanobacteriati; Methanobacteriota; Methanomicrobia; Methanomicrobiales; Methanomicrobiaceae.